Molecule: ribosomal RNA, 450 nt
Filed under: uncultured bacterium
Lineage: Bacteria
Description: partial 16S ribosomal RNA
Rfam family: Bacterial small subunit ribosomal RNA
Source: RNAcentral
GUGGGGAAUAUUGGACAAUGGGCGAAAGCCUGAUCCAGCCAUGCCGCGUGUGUGAAGAAGGUCUUCGGAUUGUAAAGCACUUUAAGUUGGGAGGAAGGGUAGUAACCUAAUACGUUGCUACUUUGACGUUACCGACAGAAUAAGCACCGGCUAACUUCGUGCCAGCAGCCGCGGUAAUACGAAGGGUGCAAGCGUUAAUCGGAAUUACUGGGCGUAAAGCGCGCGUAGGUGGUUCAGUAAGUUGGAAGUGAAAUCCCCGGGCUCAACCUGGGAACUGCUUUCAAAACUGCUGAGCUAGAGUACGGUAGAGGGUGGUGGAAUUUCCUGUGUAGCGGUGAAAUGCGUAGAUAUAGGAAGGAACACCAGUGGCGAAGGCGACCACCUGGACUGAUACUGGCACUGAGGUGCGAAAGCGUGGGGAGCAAACAGGAUUAGAAACCCCUGUAGUCC